GCACAAGCGUGGAGCAUGUGGUUUAAUUCGAAGCAACGCGAAAACCUUACCUGCCCUUGACAUGUCAGGAAUCUUUCAGAGAUGAGAGAGUGCCUUCGGGAACCUGAACACAGGUGCUGCAUGGCUGUCGUCAGCUCGUGUCGUGAGAUGUUGGGUUAAGUCCCGUAACGAGCGCAACCCUUGUCCUUAGUUGCCAGCGGUUCGGCCGGGAACUCUAAGGAGACUGCCGGUGAUAACCGGAGAAGUGGGGACGACGUCAAGUCAUCAUGGCCCUUAUGGGCAGGGCUACACACGUGCUACAAUGGCCAGUACAGAAGGUUGCCAACCCGCGAGGGGGAGCUAAUCCUGAAAAGCUGGUCGUAGUCCGGAUCGCAGUCUGCAACUCGACUGCGUGAAGUCGGAAUCGCUAGUAAUCGCGAAUCAGCAUGUCGCGGUGAAUACGUUCCCGGGCCUU
RNAcentral lists this ribosomal RNA (454 nucleotides) under uncultured Gammaproteobacteria bacterium. RNAcentral's name for it is "bacterial SSU rRNA". It matches the Rfam family "Bacterial small subunit ribosomal RNA", at positions 923 to 1382 of the family's 1533-position model. The record is from RNAcentral. Lineage: Bacteria; Pseudomonadati; Pseudomonadota; Gammaproteobacteria.